UACGGGGGGGGCAAGCGUUGUUCGGAAUUACUGGGCGUAAAGAGCGCGCAGGCGGUCGUUCAAGUCGAGUGUGAAAGCCCCCGGCUCAACUGGGGAGGGUCAUUCGAUACUGAUCGACUCGAAGGCAGGAGAGGGAAGUGGAAUUCCCGGUGUAGUGGUGAAAUGCGUAGAUAUCGGGAGGAACACCAGUGGCGAAGGCGACUUCCUGGCCUGUUCUUGACGCUGAGGCGCGAAAGCUAGGGGAGCAAACGGG
RNAcentral lists this ribosomal RNA (253 nucleotides) under uncultured bacterium. RNAcentral's name for it is "partial 16S ribosomal RNA". It matches the Rfam family "Bacterial small subunit ribosomal RNA", at positions 524 to 776 of the family's 1533-position model. The record is from RNAcentral.